This 212-nucleotide long non-coding RNA is filed under the name Mytilus galloprovincialis (Mediterranean mussel). The record is from RNAcentral. Lineage: Eukaryota; Metazoa; Mollusca; Bivalvia; Mytilida; Mytilidae.
GCAUAAAAAAAACAGACAACAGUAUGGGCAGAAAUAAAAACAGACACCUUCAUAGUCAAAAAUUAAAACAUACAAUAUCAUGGUAAACAAAUGAAACAAACAUCUCCAAGGACAAAAUUCAAAACAGACAACAUCAUGGUGAAAAAUUAAAACUAACAACACUAUGGCAUAAGAAAAACAGACAACAGCAAGGACACAAAAAAACCACAGGC